RNAcentral lists this ribosomal RNA (253 nucleotides) under uncultured bacterium. RNAcentral's name for it is "partial 16S ribosomal RNA". It matches the Rfam family "Bacterial small subunit ribosomal RNA", at positions 524 to 776 of the family's 1533-position model. The record is from RNAcentral.
UACGUAGGGUGCGAGCGUUGUCCGGAAUUAUUGGGCGUAAAGGGCUCGUAGGCGGUCUGUUGCGUCGGGAGUGAAAACUCAGGGCUUAACCCUGAGCCUGCUUCCGAUACGGGCAGACUAGAGGUAUGCAGGGGAGAACGGAAUUCCUGGUGUAGCGGUGAAAUGCGCAGAUAUCAGGAGGAACACCGGUGGCGAAGGCGGGUCUCUGGGCCGAAACUGACGCUGAGGAGCGAAAGCGUGGGGAGCGAACAGG